This 378-nucleotide ribosomal RNA is filed under the name uncultured eukaryote. RNAcentral's name for it is "partial 18S ribosomal RNA". It matches the Rfam family "Eukaryotic small subunit ribosomal RNA", at positions 592 to 976 of the family's 1831-position model. The record is from RNAcentral.
CAAUAGCGUAUAUUUAAGUUGUUGCAGUUAAAAAGCUCGUAGUUGGAUUUCGGGUGGGACGCAGCGGUCUCGCAUUGCGUUUGUACUGCUGCAGCCCUCCUUCUUGCCGGGGGCGGCCUCUCGGACUUCACUGUCUGGGGGUCAGAAUCGGCGAUGUUACUUUGAGUAAAUUAGAGUGUUCAAAGCAAGCUUACGCUCUGAAUAUAAUAGCAUGGGAUAACACGACAGAACUCUGGCCUAUCGUGUUGGUCUAUAGGACCAGAGUAAUGAUUAAGAGGGACAGUCGGGGGCAUUCGUAUUCCGUUGUCAGAGGUGAAAUUCUUGGAUUUACGGAAGACGAACAUCUGCGAAAGCAUUUGCCAAGGAUGUUUNCAUUGA